This is an unclassified non-coding RNA of Callithrix jacchus (white-tufted-ear marmoset), 299 nucleotides long. It matches the Rfam family "Metazoan signal recognition particle RNA". From Rfam's summary of the family: The signal recognition particle (SRP) is a universally conserved ribonucleoprotein. It is involved in the co-translational targeting of proteins to membranes. NCBI's taxonomy places the organism in Eukaryota, Metazoa, Chordata, Mammalia, Primates, Cebidae. The record is from Ensembl.
GCCGGGCACGGUAGCAUGUGCCUGUGGUCGCAGCUGCUCUGGAGUCUGGGGUGGGAGGAGCUUGAGCCCAGGAGUUCUGGGCUGUAGUGUGCUAUGCCGAUCGGGUCCGCACUCAGUUAGGCAUCAAUAUGGUGACUUCCUGGGAGCGGGGGACCACCAGGUUGCCUAAGAAGGGGUAAACCAGCCCAGGAUGGAAACAGAGCAGCAGGUCAAAACUCCCAUGCUGAUCAGUAGUGGGAUCGUGCCUGUGAGUAGCCACUGCAUUCCAGCCUGGGCAAUGUAGCGAGACCCCGUCUCUU